This 253-nucleotide ribosomal RNA is filed under the name uncultured bacterium. Its description in RNAcentral is "partial 16S ribosomal RNA". It matches the Rfam family "Bacterial small subunit ribosomal RNA", at positions 524 to 776 of the family's 1533-position model. The record is from RNAcentral.
UACGUAGGUGGCAAGCGAUACUCGGAAUCACUAGGCGUAAAGCGCAGGUAGGCGGUUUGGUAAGCCUUUUGUGAAAGCUCCCGGCUCAACUGGGAGAGGUCAAAGGAAACUACCGGACUAGAGUGUGGUAGGGGAUACUGGAAUUCCUGGUGUAGCGGUGAAAUGCGUAGAUAUCAGGAGGAAUACCUAUGGCGAAAGCAGGUAUCUGGGCCAUCACUGACGCUGAGCUGCGAAAGCUAGGGGAGCAAACAGG